GACGAACGCUGGCGGCGUGCCUAAUACAUGCAAGUAGAACGCACAGUUUAUACCGUAGCUUGCUACACCAUAGACUGUGAGUUGCGAACGGGUGAGUAACGCGUAGGUAACCUGCCUGGUAGCGGGGGAUAACUAUUGGAAACGAUAGCUAAUACCGCAUAAUAUUGAUUAUUGCAUGAUAAUUGAUUGAAAGAUGCUAUUGCAUCACUACCAGAUGGACCUGCGUUGUAUUAGCUAGUAGGUGAGGUAACGGCUCACCUAGGCGACGAUACAUAGCCGACCUGCGAGGGUGAUCGGCCACACUGGGACUGAGACACGGCCCAGACUCCUACGGGAGGCAGCAGUAGGGAAUCUUCGGCAAUGGACGAAAGUCUGACCGAGCAACGCCGCGUGAGUGAAGAAGGUUUUCGGAUCGUAAAGCUCUGUUGUAAGAGAAGAACGGGUGUGAGAGUGGAAAGUUCACACUGUGACGGUAUCUUACCAGAAAGGGACGGCUAACUACGUG
This 505-nucleotide ribosomal RNA is filed under the name uncultured bacterium. RNAcentral describes it as "partial 16S ribosomal RNA". It matches the Rfam family "Bacterial small subunit ribosomal RNA", at positions 28 to 507 of the family's 1533-position model. The record is from RNAcentral.